GUAAGCUUUAGAUUUUGUAUUAAUAUUGUUUCUCCUUUUAAGACCAGUCUUCUGUGGCUGCAGGGCAGAGUCUGCUGACGGUGUCUCUGCUUAUCGGCGGCGUCAUGCGCGUGUAGGGUCGGACAUCCGAGUGAUACACCCUGAGAUAACCUCGUCACGUGAACUGCGCUGCAGAUUGGAUUAUGAAGGUGUCAAAUCUCUCCCUGAUGGUCACAAGCUAUUUUCUGAGAGUUUCAGACUUCAACGUUCAAAUUCCUUGCAGAUGGCCAACCAGCCCGUCCAAUCCCCACUGCAAUUAACCUUUGGAGGAGAAUAACAAAGCAGUACACAGGGGCACUGCGGCCGGACUCAGCUGCUUUGAUGUGGUUCCUGUGUUUGCUCUGCCGUGCACUGGGAGGGAGGUGAACUCUGCCGACACGUCCAGGGGUGCUGAGGGGGGCGUCACUGCAGCAUGGAAGGAACUGUUAUCGCCUUUCUGAAACAUUGGCUGCAUUUACUUACACAGAGGAGCUGGCCUUCAGCCACACUUUUAUUAGCACAUAUCAUACCCUGCAGCAGGCUCUCACAGUUGCCUCAGAUGAACCGCUGGAGUCCUGAUAUUCCUUUUGAUGUUAGGUGACAUGUCCACUGAUUGGGUGAUGUUUUUGUGAAUGACAGUGUUUGAGAUUACCUGUGGUCACUAGUGCGAGAUGAAUUCAGAUGAUUUACUCAAGAAAAAGCAACAGACAUCAUUACUACUAGAUGAAAAUACAAGAAGUCAAAAAUAGCAUUUCCUAAAACUUAAUUUAAAUUAACAGAUUUUCUAGUCAAUGAAGUGUUAUAAUUUUUAAAUUGUUAUGGUGAAGAUGUUAGCAGAUACUUAUUCACCGAUCCAAACGACGUGUAACAACGUUAGCAUUUAUUUGGAGUGUUUCUGGCACAUUCAUGAAUGUAAGUCCAAAAGGUUUUAGCUAGUUGUUAAAUGCUCUAGCAGCUAGUUAAUAUAAUAAUCUGUUUGUCUAACAAGACAAUGAACUGCAAGAUGUUGAAGAAAG
Long non-coding RNA from Amphiprion ocellaris (clown anemonefish), 1034 nucleotides. NCBI's taxonomy places the organism in Eukaryota, Metazoa, Chordata, Actinopteri, Pomacentridae. The record is from Ensembl.